CAGGAACCGAGUUCUGCCACUAAAUUUGUGAGAAGAACAGGGGAAUCCACUGAGUGACCAUUGCCUCCUCUGCAGCACACCAGGUGUAGGAGCUUGGGUGCCCCAUAUCUCAACAGAAAAACUUUCCCAAUGACCUGGCAGCAGCUAUGGAACAGAAAUAGGGGCAUUUAAUGGCUCCAGCCCUGCACAUUGACAGAACUUCUGCCACCAUUUGCC
Oenanthe melanoleuca is the source of this 216-nucleotide long non-coding RNA. RefSeq lists it as uncharacterized. NCBI's taxonomy places the organism in Eukaryota, Metazoa, Chordata, Aves, Passeriformes, Muscicapidae. The transcript has 3 exons. The record is from RefSeq and is a predicted model, not a curated record.